GAGGAUGUAGCUCAGUAGUAGAGUGUGUGCUUAGUGUGCACAAGGUCCUGGGUUCAAUCCUUGGUACCUCCA
This 72-nucleotide transfer RNA is filed under the name Camelus bactrianus (Bactrian camel). It matches the Rfam family "tRNA". From Rfam's summary of the family: Transfer RNA (tRNA) molecules are approximately 80 nucleotides in length. Lineage: Eukaryota; Metazoa; Chordata; Mammalia; Artiodactyla; Camelidae. RNAcentral also lists the same sequence under 2 other names. The record is from Rfam by way of RNAcentral.